CAGUUCGGAUCGGAGUCUGCAACCCGACUCCGUGAAGCUGGAUUCGCUAGUAAUCGCGCAUCAGCCAUGGCGCGGUGAAUACGUUCCCGGGCCUUGUACACACCGCCCGUCAAGCCAUGGGAGCCGGGAGUGCCUGAAGUGCGUGACCGUAAAAGGAGCGCCCUAGGGCAAGACCGGUGACUGGGGCUAAGUCGUAACAAGGUACC
This 206-nucleotide ribosomal RNA is filed under the name uncultured bacterium. Its description in RNAcentral is "partial 16S ribosomal RNA". It matches the Rfam family "Bacterial small subunit ribosomal RNA", at positions 1289 to 1500 of the family's 1533-position model. The record is from RNAcentral.